This is a long non-coding RNA of Lotus japonicus, 2241 nucleotides long. RefSeq lists it as uncharacterized. The record is from RefSeq and is a predicted model, not a curated record. The transcript is spliced from 4 exons. NCBI's taxonomy places the organism in Eukaryota, Viridiplantae, Streptophyta, Magnoliopsida, Fabales, Fabaceae.
CCAUUGGUUUUGAUCUAGACCAUUCAUUCUUUUGUGCUCAUUCCCUUCGAUCAUUUCUGUCGCAGACUCUUGGUAUCUACGGUUUCUGUUGUUGUAGCUUCCACUAUGAGCCGUUUUGUGCUCUGUACUCUCUUAACGUUUCAGAUGCUUCACCUUUGUUGCUGAGCGCCUUUUUAUUCCCUGUCUCCCCCUGAGCAGUCUCGCUCACAGACUCCGCCAUGCGCCGUUCUUCUGCUCCGCUUCUCAAUUAUUUCCUUAUAAAAUAUGAUUUGUGCCCGAGAGAGAUAAUCUUGCAGGAUCUGAAAUGAAAUACUGAGAAAAAUCGAUGGCCAAAUAUGAUCGAGCUCAAAUUGCAGAAAUAAGGCGUAUAAUGAAGGGGCCAAUUGCAAACCGCAAAACAGAUUUUCUCAUUCCGUUGUUCAUGUUUAGUGAGAAAAAGGGUUCAUUUUGGUGUUAGUUGAUUAAAUACCAGAUUUUGGUGUUAGUUUAUAUACUUGAUUCAAGUAUUAAGAUUUAAGACUUUAAUAUCUUUGGGUCAUGGAGCUUACUGUGUUCUUCUUAAAAUUUGUAACUUAAGGAACAAUGAGAUGGAUUCUUCAGGUAUUUCUAAUUCUGCACUUAUGUUCUUUUUCUGAUAUAUGUCAGUGAUUUAUCAUAUUCUUCUUCAUUCUCUUUAGUUUCUAUUAAAUUUUUAAGGAAAAGUUUAGAAUCAAGUUGAUUUGAUUGUUGAUGUGGUUAGGCAAAAGUUUAGGGGCUAUAUAUAUACUGAUUUUCUCUCUUUGUAGAAGAGGGGAUAUGGAAGCCUAUCAUCUCAGCAAUGGUGGUGAAUUUGGAGAAAAAGGUUUAUCCUUUGAAAAAGGUUGCUUAUGAGUGUCCAUGAUUAGAGGAAACACUACACAUGACUAUGAUGAUCUUGGUCACAGUGACCCUGAAAUAUAAAGAUGAUUUUAUCAAUUACACAUGACUAUGUGGGCAUAACGUUUCUGUCAGGAGAUGGAUUGGCUAAAAUCAUUGUUUCAAGUUAUCUGAAAGAUUAGCUGGAUCUCAUAGCGGGUUGUUGAUUGGGGGCUUUUCCCUUUUGAUGUUGGAAUAUGGUGUGGUAUACUGGUAUUAUUCCAAUAAGUUUGAACUUCUCUGGCUGUAACUAUUUUGCAGUACUUUGUGGUGGUAUGUGUCAACAAUUUGUCUUGAAAGUAUGGCUGUCUGGAUUAUUUGAAUUAUUUGGUUUACUCAUGGUCAUAUUUGGUGUAAUCAUUGUCAUGGAGGUAUACACACUAGACAAGGAUUUGGAGUUUUGAUUCACAAUGACAUCUUCGAAAUGCAUAGGUUUUUGUUAUUGUAAGUUGUUUUUUUGGAGGAUUUAGAAUUGAGAAAUAUAAGUUCUUAUCUUUCAUGCCCCUUUUUCUUGAAAGGAACUAUUGGCAUGAGUCUUCUUACUACCCUUCAAAAUGCACAUGUUUUUGUAAUUUUAAGUUGUUUUUUGGGGGAUUUAGAAUUGAGAAAUUUAGGUUCUUAUCUUUCAUGCCCCUUUUUCUUCUUAGGAACUAUUGGCAUGAAUUUUCUUACUACCCUUUGAAAUGCGUAGAGUUUUGUUAUUUUAAGUUGUUUUUUGGGGGAUUUAGAAUUGAGAAAUUUAAGUUCUUAUCUUUCAUGCCCCUGUAUCUUGAGAGAAACUAUUGGCACGAAUCUUCUUACUACUGGGGAUGUUGAAACAACAAGUGGAAGCAUUAGAUGAGAAAGUCUACGACAAGCAACCUGCAACAUAAUCAUGGAGAAUAUGCAAUUUGGGGGACCAUUCAAUCAGUUAUUGGAGGGUGGGAGAUCAGGCCCUUAUUGCUUUCGAGGGUUGUUAACUUCAAUAUUUGAACGUUUGUGGUUGUCACCAAAGUAAUAGCCAUUACAUGGAGGUGCCCUCAACUUUGUUAUGUAAUUGUGUUUUCCUGUCUCUUUUUAUACCUGAGAAUAUGAGUUGAAAUGAAGAGAACUUGCUCCACUUCAAGUUUGAAUUGGGUAUGGGUGGAUUGAAGAGCUUGAAAAAGCAGAUCGGAUGUACUAAGGACAUGAUGGGAAUGUUUGGUGGCGGCUUAUGAGAUAUGGGUUGUUUUCAAUCACUAAUGUGUCCACAUUUGAUUUGGAUAUUUUCCAAUUUAUAGAAAACUCAAGGAAUGAAAUUGUCUGUUUUAAUUUUACAUUUUUUACAUUGAUAGUUUUUUCUAUAAAAUUAAAAUCCUCUUUUUUUCC